RNAcentral lists this ribosomal RNA (451 nucleotides) under uncultured bacterium. RNAcentral describes it as "bacterial SSU rRNA". It matches the Rfam family "Bacterial small subunit ribosomal RNA", at positions 343 to 791 of the family's 1533-position model. The record is from RNAcentral.
UGGAGGCAGCAGUGAGGAAUAUUGGGCAAUGCCCGCAAGGGUGACCCAGCAACGCCGCGUGGAGGAUGAAUGCCGUAAGGUUGUAAACUCCUGUGAGAAGGGAUGAAAAUGUGGGUUCGAAGCCCACUUUGACCGUACCUUCAGAGGAAACCCCGGCUAACUACGUGCCAGCAGCCGCGGUAAUACGUAGGGGGUUAGCGUUGUCCGGAUUUACUGGGUGUAAAGGGCGCGUAGGCGGGUCUGUAAGUCAGAGGUGAAAUCCUACAGCUUAACUGUAGAGCUGCCUUUGAUACUGCGGAUCUUGAGUUCAGAAGAGAGAGAUGGAAUUCCAGGUGUAGUGGUGAAAUACGUAGAUAUCUGGAAGAACACCAGUGGCGAAGGCGAUCUCUUGGUCUGACACUGACGCUGAGGCGCGAAAGCGUGGGUAGCAAACAGGAUUAGAUACCCCGGU